UACGUAGGGUGCAAGCGUUGUCCGGAAUUAUUGGGCGUAAAGAGCUCGUAGGCGGUUUGUUGCGUCGGCUGUGAAAUCCCGAGGCUCAACCUCGGGUCUGCAGUCGAUACGAGCAAACUAGAGUGUUGCAGGGGAGACUGGAAUUCCUGGUGUAGCGGUGAAAUGCGCCAGAUAGUCAGGAGGAACACCGGUGGCGAAGGCGGGUCUCCUGGGGCGAAACAACGUGACGCUGAGGAGCGAA
Molecule: ribosomal RNA, 241 nt
Filed under: uncultured bacterium
Lineage: Bacteria
Description: partial 16S ribosomal RNA
Rfam family: Bacterial small subunit ribosomal RNA
Source: RNAcentral